This 443-nucleotide ribosomal RNA is filed under the name uncultured bacterium. RNAcentral describes it as "partial 16S ribosomal RNA". It matches the Rfam family "Bacterial small subunit ribosomal RNA", at positions 338 to 795 of the family's 1533-position model. The record is from RNAcentral.
ACUACGGGAGGCAGCAGUGGGGAAUAUUGGGCAAUGGGCGCAAGCCUGACCCAGCAACGCCGCGUGAAGGAAGAAGGCUUUCGGGUUGUAAACUUCUUUUCUCAGGGACGAAGCAAGUGACGGUACCUGAGGAAUAAGCCACGGCUAACUACGUGCCAGCAGCCGCGGUAAUACGUAGGUGGCAAGCGUUAUCCGGAUUUACUGGGUGUAAAGGGCGUGUAGGCGGGGACGCAAGUCAGAUGUGAAAACCACGGGCUCAACCUGUGGCCUGCAUUUGAAACUGUGUUUCUUGAGUACUGGAGAGGCAGACGGAAUUCCUGGUGUAGCGGUGAAAUGCGUAGAUAUUAGGAGGAACACCAGUGGCGAAGGCGGUCUGCUGGACAGCAACUGACGCUGAGGCGCGAAAGCGUGGGGAGCAAACAGGAUUAGAUACCCCUGUAGUC